Molecule: ribosomal RNA, 253 nt
Filed under: uncultured bacterium
Lineage: Bacteria
Description: partial 16S ribosomal RNA
Rfam family: Bacterial small subunit ribosomal RNA
Source: RNAcentral
UACAGGGGGGGCAAGCGUUGUUCGGAAUUACUGGGCGUAAAGGGCUCGUAGGCGGCCAAUUAAGUCCGACGUGAAAUCCCCAGGCUUAACCUGGGAACUGCGUCGGAUACUGAUUGGCUUGAAUCCGGGAGAGGGAUGCGGAAUUCCAGGUGUAGCGGUGAAAUGCGUAGAUAUCUGGAGGAACACCUGUGGUGUAGACGGCUUUCUGGACCAUAACUGACGCUGAGACACGAAAGCGUGGGUAGCAAACAGG